GAUGCCGUGGCCGCUGGAAUGGCAUAGGCUCGCAAAGCUGAAGUUGUGGGUUCGAGUCCCACCGGUAUCG
Molecule: transfer RNA, 70 nt
Filed under: Eubacterium sp.
Lineage: Bacteria; Bacillati; Bacillota; Clostridia; Eubacteriales; Eubacteriaceae
Description: tRNA-Cys
Rfam family: tRNA
About the family: Transfer RNA (tRNA) molecules are approximately 80 nucleotides in length. Their secondary structure includes four short double-helical elements and three loops (D, anti-codon, and T loops). Further hydrogen bonds mediate the characteristic L-shaped molecular structure. tRNAs have two regions of fundamental functional importance: the anti-codon, which is responsible for specific mRNA codon recognition, and the 3' end, to which the tRNAs corresponding amino acid is attached (by aminoacyl-tRNA synthetases). tRNAs cope with the degeneracy of the genetic code in two manners: having more than one tRNA (with a specific anti-codon) for a particular amino acid; and 'wobble' base-pairing, i.e. permitting non-standard base-pairing at the 3rd anti-codon position.
Source: RNAcentral